RNAcentral lists this ribosomal RNA (484 nucleotides) under uncultured bacterium. RNAcentral's name for it is "partial 16S ribosomal RNA". It matches the Rfam family "Bacterial small subunit ribosomal RNA", at positions 30 to 507 of the family's 1533-position model. The record is from RNAcentral.
AUUGAACGCUGGCGGCAGGCCUAACACAUGCAAGUCGAGCGGAAGAAGGGAGCUUGCUCCUGGAUUCAGCGGCGGACGGGUGAGUAAUGCCGAGGAAUCUGCCUGGUAGUUGGGGAUAAGGUCCGGAAACGGGCGCUAAUACCGCAUACGUCCUGAUGUAGAAAGUGGGGGAUCUUCGGACCUCACGCUAUCAGAUGAGCCUAGGACGGAUUAGCGAGUUGGUGGGGUAAAGGCCUACCAAGGCGACGAUCCGUAACUGGUCUGAGAGGAUGAUCAGCCACACUGGAACUGAGACACGGUCCAGACUCCUACGGGAGGCAGCAGUGGGGAAUAUUGGACAAUGGGCGAAAGCCUGAUCCAGCCAUGCCGCGUGUGUGAAGAAGGUCUUCGGAUUGUAAAGCACUUUAAGUUGGGAGGAAGGGCAGUAAGUUAAUACCUUGCUGUUUUGACGUUACCAACAGAAUAAGCACCGGCUAACUUCGUG